AAGGGAGACCUAAUUCAGGUAUGGGACGAAAAAAAGUAGUCGCUACCAAGAAUCAAUCCCAAAAGGUCGGAGCGAGGUAUGAGGCUUUCAAACUAGGUUCUGGGUUCAAACAAGACCUGAAUCAGGAACAAGGGCUAUUAGCUCAGGUGGUUAGAGCGCACCCCUGAUAAGGGUGAGGUCCCUGGUUCGAGUCCAGGAUGGCCCACCUGCACAGGUGGCAAAAACAAGAGAAGCUCCGAAUCAGCACCUUAUCUUAUCUAUAUAUAAGAGAGAAUGCUGGCUCUGAGUACAGAGUCCAGAGGAACCUUGAAAACUGCAUAGAGCUAGGUGAAAAAGCCAAAAAAGAAGACCGCAA
This 355-nucleotide transfer RNA is filed under the name uncultured Microcystis sp. RNAcentral's name for it is "partial 16S-23S ribosomal RNA intergenic spacer". The stretch from base 132 to 205 matches the Rfam family "tRNA". Lineage: Bacteria; Bacillati; Cyanobacteriota; Cyanophyceae; Chroococcales; Microcystaceae. The record is from RNAcentral.